RNAcentral lists this ribosomal RNA (524 nucleotides) under uncultured bacterium. Its description in RNAcentral is "bacterial SSU rRNA". It matches the Rfam family "Bacterial small subunit ribosomal RNA", at positions 356 to 896 of the family's 1533-position model. The record is from RNAcentral.
GGGGAAUAUUGGACAAUGGAGGAGACUCUGAUCCAGCAAUUCUGUGUGCACGAAGACGGUUUUCGGAUUGUAAAGUGCUUUCAGCAGGGAAGAAGAAAGUGACGGUACCUGCAGAAGAAGCGACGGCUAAAUACGUGCCAGCAGCCGCGGUAAUACGUAUGUCGCAAGCGUUAUCCGGAAUUAUUGGGCAUAAAGGGCAUCUAGGCGGCCAGAUAAGUCUGGGGUGAAAACUUGCGGCUCAACCGCAAGCCUGCCCUGGAAACUAUGUGGCUAGAGUACUGGAGAGGUGGACGGAACUGCACGAGUAGAGGUGAAAUUCGUAGAUAUGUGCAGGAAUGCCGAUGAUGAAGAUAGUUCACUGGACGGUAACUGACGCUGAAGUGCGAAAGCUAGGGGAGCAAACAGGAUUAGAUACCCUGGUAGUCCUAGCUGUAAACGAUGAUUACUGGGUGUGGGCAUGAAGAGUGUCCGUGCCGAAGCUAAUGCGAUAAGUAAUCCGCCUGGGGAGUACGGCCGCAAGGCUG